Liolophura sinensis is the source of this 73-nucleotide small nucleolar RNA. Lineage: Eukaryota; Metazoa; Mollusca; Polyplacophora; Chitonida; Chitonidae. The record is from RefSeq and is a predicted model, not a curated record.
UUUCUGAGUGAUGAGGAUUUUUACCGCCCCAGUCUGACCUUAUGCUGACUGAUUGGAUUUUCUCUGACAGAAC